CCUACGGGGGGCAGCAGUGGGGGAUAUUGCACAAUGGUGGAAACCCUGAUGCAGCGACGCCGCGUGUGGGAAGACGGUCCUCUGGAUUGUAAACCACUUUCCCCAGGGACGAAGAUGACGGUACCUGGGGAGGAAGCUCCGGCUAACUACGUGCCAGCAGCCGCGGUAAUACGUAGGGAGCGAGCGUUGUCCGGAAUUACUGGGUGUAAAGGGAGCGUAGGCGGGUCUGCAAGUUGGGUGUCAAAUCUACCGGCUCAACCGGUAGCCGCACUCAAAACUGCAGUUCUUGAGUGAAGUAGAGGCAGGCGGAAUUCCUAGUGUAGCGGUGAAAUGCGUAGAUAUUAGGAGGAACACCAGUGGCGAAGGCGGCAUGCUGGGCUUUUACUGACGCUGAGGCUCGAAAGUGUGGGGAGCAAACAGGAUUAGAUACCCUUGUAGUC
Molecule: ribosomal RNA, 440 nt
Filed under: uncultured bacterium
Lineage: Bacteria
Description: partial 16S ribosomal RNA
Rfam family: Bacterial small subunit ribosomal RNA
Source: RNAcentral